UGGGGAAUAUUGGACAAUGGGCGAAAGCCUGAUCCAGCCAUGCCGCGUGUGUGAAGAAGGUCUUCGGAUUGUAAAGCACUUUAAGUCGGGAGGAAGGGCAGUAAGCGAAUACCUUGCUGUUUUGACGUUAUCGACAGAAUAAGCACCGGCUAACUCUGUGCCAGCAGCCGCGGUAAUACAGAGGGUGCAAGCGUUAAUCGGAAUUACUGGGCGUAAAGCGCGCGUAGGUGGUUCGUUAAGUUGAAUGUGAAAGCCCCGGGCUCAACCUGGGAACUGCAUCCAAAACUGGCGAGCUAGAGUAGGGCAGAGGGUGGUGGAAUUUCCUGUGUAGCGGUGAAAUGCGUAGAUAUAGGAAGGAACACCAGUGGCGAAGGCGACAACCUGGGCUCAUACUGACACUGAGGUGCGAAAGCGUAGGGAGCAAACAGG
Molecule: ribosomal RNA, 429 nt
Filed under: Pseudomonadota bacterium
Lineage: Bacteria; Pseudomonadati; Pseudomonadota
Description: Proteobacteria bacterium partial 16S ribosomal RNA
Rfam family: Bacterial small subunit ribosomal RNA
Source: RNAcentral